AUUUAAGUAACUUAAGUAAAAGUUUGAUAUUGAAGCUAUCAUUAUGGGUAGUUUACCCCUUAAAUA
Molecule: transfer RNA, 66 nt
Filed under: Eusthenes cupreus
Lineage: Eukaryota; Metazoa; Arthropoda; Insecta; Hemiptera; Tessaratomidae
Description: tRNA-Phe
Source: RNAcentral